This is a non-coding RNA of Notechis scutatus (mainland tiger snake), 224 nucleotides long. NCBI's taxonomy places the organism in Eukaryota, Metazoa, Chordata, Lepidosauria, Squamata, Elapidae. The record is from RefSeq and is a predicted model, not a curated record.
AGGGCUCCACACGGGAGAUGGUACCGUUGAAGAGCUUCAACAUCACGUCCAGCUUCUGGAACCAGGUCUCGGUGUGGUUAGAGGCCAUCCUGGUCCUGGGCCCAACGCUGAAUAAACAACUUGCUUAGCGACGGAAAUCCUGGUCCUGAUGGAGGUCGUAUGUUGAGGGCUUGUCUGGGCCACACCUCACUGAAGGACCGGUGCAAAAAUCGUCUCUACGGUUA